This 440-nucleotide ribosomal RNA is filed under the name uncultured bacterium. RNAcentral's name for it is "partial 16S ribosomal RNA". It matches the Rfam family "Bacterial small subunit ribosomal RNA", at positions 338 to 795 of the family's 1533-position model. The record is from RNAcentral.
CCUACGGGAGGCAGCAGUGGGGAAUAUUGCACAAUGGGGGAAACCCUGAUGCAGCGACGCCGCGUGAGUGAAGAAGUAUUUCGGUAUGUAAAGCUCUAUCAGCACGGAGGAAAAUGACGGUACCUGAUUCAGAAGCCCCGGCUAACUACGUGCCAGCAGCCGCGGUAAUACGGAGGGGGCAAGCGUUAUCCGGAUUUCCUGGGUGUAAAGGGAGCGUAGACGGCAGGACAAGUCUGGAGUGAAAUGCCGGGGCUUAACCCCGGAACUGCUUUUGAAACUGUGCAGCUAGAGUGCAGGUGAGGUAAGUGGAAUGUCUGGUGUAGCGGUGAAAUGCGUAGAGAUGAGGAAGAACACCAGUGGCGAAGGCGGCUUACUGGACUGUAACUGACGUUGAGGCUCGAAAGCGUGGGGAGCAAACAGGAUUAGAUACCCGGGUAGUC